RNAcentral lists this ribosomal RNA (465 nucleotides) under Segatella oris. Its description in RNAcentral is "bacterial SSU rRNA". It matches the Rfam family "Bacterial small subunit ribosomal RNA", at positions 28 to 481 of the family's 1533-position model. The record is from RNAcentral. Lineage: Bacteria; Pseudomonadati; Bacteroidota; Bacteroidia; Bacteroidales; Prevotellaceae.
GAUGAACGCUGGCUACAGGCUUAACACAUGCAAGUCGAGGGGAAACGACGGGGAAGCUUGCUUCCCCGGGCGUCGACCGGCGCACGGGUGAGUAACACGUAUCCAACCUGCCUCUGACUGAGGGAUAACCCGUCGAAAGUCGGCCUAAUACCUCAUGGCAUCGUCUGCGGGCAUCCAACGACGAUUAAAGAUUUCAUCGGUCAGGGAUGGGGAUGCGUCUGAUUAGCUAGUUGGCGGGGUAACGGCCCACCAAGGCGACGAUCAGUAGGGGUUCUGAGAGGAAGGUCCCCCACAUUGGAACUGAGACACGGUCCAAACUCCUACGGGAGGCAGCAGUGAGGAAUAUUGGUCAAUGGGCGAGAGCCUGAACCAGCCAAGUAGCGUGCAGGAUGACGGCCCUAUGGGUUGUAAACUGCUUUUAUGCGGGGAUAAAGUGAGGGACGUGUCCUUCAUUGCAGGUACCGC